RNAcentral lists this ribosomal RNA (478 nucleotides) under uncultured bacterium. RNAcentral's name for it is "partial 16S ribosomal RNA". It matches the Rfam family "Bacterial small subunit ribosomal RNA", at positions 28 to 523 of the family's 1533-position model. The record is from RNAcentral.
AUUGAACGCUGGCGGCAUGCCUAACACAUGCAAGUCGAACGGCAAGGCCCUUCGGGGUACACGAGUGGCGAACGGGUGAGUAACACGUGGGUGAUCUGCCCUGCACUUCGGGAUAAGCCUGGGAAACUGGGUCUAAUACCGGAUAGGACCCUGGGAUGCAUGUCCUGGGGUGGAAAGCUUUUGCGGUGUGGGAUGGGCCCGCGGCCUAUCAGCUUGUUGGUGGGGUGAUGGCCUACCAAGGCGACGACGGGUAGCCGGCCUGAGAGGGUGACCGGCCACACUGGGACUGAGAUACGGCCCAGACUCCUACGGGAGGCAGCAGUGGGGAAUAUUGCACAAUGGGCGCAAGCCUGAUGCAGCGACGCCGCGUGAGGGAUGACGGCCUUCGGGUUGUAAACCUCUUUCAGCACCGACGAAGCGCAAGUGACGGUAGGUGCAGAAGAAGGACCGGCCAACUACGUGCCAGCCGCCGCAGUAA